CUGGGUAUUUACCUUAUCAACUAUCAGAUCAAUGGCGGGUUCUAUUUGAUUUGGCACCUGAAUUCGCACCUGAAUCGGACCGCACUCAAUAUUUGUCAGGCUAUUGUUCUCUUGUUCCCUCGAAUCUAUGGAGUAAGACAUCGAUUUGUCAAUAAGAUUAAUUAUGUUUAUUGCAUUGCAUAAUGGGCUUCCUUGAAAAGCAUUG
Molecule: long non-coding RNA, 205 nt
Filed under: Phoenix dactylifera (date palm)
Lineage: Eukaryota; Viridiplantae; Streptophyta; Magnoliopsida; Arecales; Arecaceae
Description: long non-coding RNA (PDAC_LNC008572)
Source: RNAcentral